RNAcentral lists this ribosomal RNA (253 nucleotides) under uncultured bacterium. Its description in RNAcentral is "partial 16S ribosomal RNA". It matches the Rfam family "Bacterial small subunit ribosomal RNA", at positions 524 to 776 of the family's 1533-position model. The record is from RNAcentral.
UACGUAGGGUGCAAGCGUUGUCCGGAAUUAUCGGGCGUAAAGAGCUCGUAGGUGGCCUGUCGCGUCGGCUGUGAAAACUCGGGGCUCAACUCCGAGCUUGCAGUCGAUACGGGCAGGCUAGAGUUCGGCAGGGGAGACUGGAAUUCCUGGUGUAGCGGUGAAAUGCGCAGAUAUCAGGAGGAACACCGGUGGCGAAGGCGGGUCUCUGGGCCGAUACUGACACUGAGGAGCGAAAGCGUGGGGAGCGAACAGG